Lytechinus variegatus (green sea urchin) is the source of this 920-nucleotide long non-coding RNA. RefSeq lists it as uncharacterized. The record is from RefSeq and is a predicted model, not a curated record. Lineage: Eukaryota; Metazoa; Echinodermata; Echinoidea; Temnopleuroida; Toxopneustidae. The transcript is spliced from 3 exons.
AAUAGGGGUCUUCGGCUUCCUAUUUGGACGGGAAAGAGGCAUAUUUUGGUGACCCACACAAACGGUGAGAAGAGGUACAUGUAUAGAGAGAAAGGGGCACAGCAACUGAAAGGAGAGGGAAGUCCAGACACUCUACCACGGUCUGCCAUUGAAUAAGAAGUCUCUCUUUGGAUCAGGGGGUCAAGCUCCUAGUAUGAAGAUUGUUCAAGAGUCAAGACUGUUGAAGAGGUGACGUCAUGGACCUGGUAGCACCUGGCAAGGGAACUAUAUUACUGUUCAUAAAUCUAUUACUCAAGUAUCCUAAAAACGCUUUAAAAAUUUGAACAUUAACAAAAGUACUAAUUUUCAUUUUUCAAAGAUAAUCAUUAUAUUGACAUUGUGAAUAUAUUUUAUGAUUAUCAUAAAAUUAUUAUAAUGUAAAUGAUGAUAGGUCAUACUAAUACAAAUAAACAAUAAGUAGAAAAGAAGACAACCAAGAAGGAGAAGAAGAAAAAGAAGAGGGGUGGAAGAGGAGAAAAGGAGAAGAAGAAUAAAUAACAACACUGAGUUCCUCUUCAUGAUAUUACAGAAAUCUUCAUCUUUAAGUGGAAAUAUUUAUGAAUAGUAUAAUAUAUAAUGUAUGAAAAAAACAUUUUAUCUAAAUCCAAGUUCCACUUUAAUCAUGUUUAUAAAGUCAUAGGACAGGUGACAAGAUAACAUUGUUUCACAAAUUUUAGUGUUUAUUUAUUUUAAAAGUAAUAAAUUUACAUGAAAUGUCAUUCUUUUUGCUUCAUCUCUUUGUUUAUUUUAUUGAAUCGGGGGUGGGGGGUGAGGGUGGUCAAAAUAUGAUUUGCCCCUCAGAACAAACUUGUUUCCCUACUAAAAAUAGUAUUAAUAUUUGUAGAAAAUUGUAGGAUUGUUUUUAUCAAAUUUGGAAAGUA